This is a long non-coding RNA of Cyprinus carpio (common carp), 4392 nucleotides long. The record is from Ensembl. Lineage: Eukaryota; Metazoa; Chordata; Actinopteri; Cypriniformes; Cyprinidae.
ACUGGAUAUUGUGGAGUGGAGUUUGUAGUGCUCGUAAUGCUAUAAUUUGAAAAGAAAAAGAAAAAUGUCAGACAUAACUCGUUAAAAUCUGUUGAACCUGUAAGCUACAACUUCUCUGAUUUACAAGAUUUAACAUUUUUUUAAUCCUGCAUAGUGCACCUUUAAAUGUACUACAAACAAAAAAUGCAAACAAACCUCAAGAAUUGCUCAGGAGAUAAAGCUCAAUGAUCAAUCUAAACAAAGAAAGAAUGAACAAAAAAAUGAAUAAAUUAAUGCUUGACAGCACACAACAGGGACAGUUAAUAACAACAAAACACAGGUCUACGACUUUCAAUAUACCUCUUAUGACUAAAACCAGAAAAAAAAAAAUCUAAUUUUAUUCUUAAUAUAAACAAUGAAUAUGCUGUCUCUCCAAAUAUAUGUCAGGACACAAAAAACACACCACAUGCCAAUAAAUACCAACAUUAAGGCAACUACAACAAAUAACCUGCUAGAGGCUAAAAAGAGAGAUUUAUUUAAUUUCAUUUAUUUAUUUAUUUUCAAAAAAUAUUUUUAUACUCGCCAAAGCUGAUAAAUUUAGUAAAAACAGUAAUAUUGUCAAUUAUUAUUACAGCUUAAAUUUACUUUUUAUUUUAUUAUAUUUUUACAUUUAAUUUAUUUUGGUGAUGGCAAACUGAAUUAUCAUAGUGUACUCCAUUUGUCAGUGUCAUGUUAUCAUCAAUAUUGAAAACAGUUGUGCUGCCUCAUAUUUUUGUGGAAAAGGUGAAUUAUAACUAUUAAUUUUGGGUUCAAUUUUUUUUUAUACUUUUACUAAGCAGACAUGAACUUAUCAAAAGUGUCAGUAUUUAACUGUUACAUAAGAUUUUGGACUUUUUUUUACUUUAUAUUCAAAGAAUGCUGAAAAAUGCAUCAGUUUAUUACAAAUCUUUAAAAUGCAUAACAGUUUAUCACAAAAAGUUUUGUGUUGCCCUUAAGGCAGUUAAUAAUUUAAUAAAUAAGUUAAAUGGUUUAAAAUGUUUAAAUGAAGCAUUUCUAAGAGUUUCUUAUAAGUAUUUCAUGUGUAUUUGUAAGUUUUAUUUAAAAAAUAUUAGCGGACAUUUUGAUUCUGGCUCGGCCGCGUUAACUUCCGGUUCGGCCGCGAUAACUUCCGGUUUCGGUUUCAUGGUAAACAGAGCAGGCGAAAUCCAGCAUGGUACGGUCAGCAAUCUGUCGCCAUUCUCACUAAAGCACUGUCAAGGCAAUGCCUUUUCACCAUCUGGAGAAGAAAUUAAAAUGCAAAAACGUCCUUUGUGGUCCUGGUCUUCUUCAGUGGUUUAUCUACGUGUUCAUUUGGCAACAUAACAGUAGCACAUUGUGCAUAUUCACUGUAUGGAAGUGUUGGUAUCCUCUGAACUUGAUGUGUCUUUUCAGCUUCACCUGUAGUAGCUGGGACUCACUGUUAGGCCUUGGCAGGCAGUUGACUGUUUUCUCCACCUCAGAGGGCACACACACAACAGCACCAUACACUGAUCUUUGCUGUCCUUUGGGCAAUGCAACUAUUUUUGCAAAAGGAACAAUUUUGGCGAUAAGCUGUCGUUCAAGUACAUUCAGUUCAAGCAGUUCUGCAGGGAUGGGAGGCAAUUCAAGUCUGUUUGCCGCUGCAAUAGAAGGCAUGGAUCCUCUUUUCAGAUGAUUGUCACAGGUGUGGCAGAUCCACUCCUGUCUUCGCUCUUCUGGAACUGCACAAGAAACUGAGCAGGCACUGUCACAAGCAUGAACAUAUUUCCCGGUUAAGCAAGAAGCUGUAAUAUGAACAUUUUUGACAUAUCGUGUUCUAUUACACAUCUUGACUUGAUUUGGAAAAAGGGUCCUGUGACAGACUGUGCAGAUGUAAGUUGGACCAUGCAGAAUUUGACACCGAAAUGCAGAUAUGGCCUUUUGUAUUAAGCUGUUGGACACAGGCUGGUUUGUCACAUCAGAAUUGGGUGUAUCCUGGCUGGAACAAAUGUAUGGCUUGUAUUUUCUCUUGAUCCUUAAUGCACAUCUCAACUUGUGAAGAAUCUGGAAUCCAGGAUCGGUGAGACACUUUUGUUUCUUCUGGAGAGUACAACGUAGAAUGUGAUGUGACCUAAACUUUGAAUCACUUGCAUAUCUUCUGGCCAAGUAGUCCUUCAUCUUCUUCUGGAAAAGAUCAUCAGUGUGGUACCUCCUGACCAAGUAGUCCUUCUUCUUCUUCUGGAAAAGAUCUUCAGUGUUGUACCUCCUGACCAUGUAGUCCUUCUUCUUCUUCUGGAAAAGAUCAUCGGUCUUGUACCUCCUGAACAUGUAGUCCUUCUUCUUCUUCUGGAAAAGAUCAUCAAUCUUGUACUUCCUGAACAUGUAGUCCUUCAUUUUGUUCUGGAAAAGAGCAUCUGUCUUGUACCUCGUGACCAUGUAGUUCUUCAUUUUCCUUUGGAAAAGAGCAUCAGUGUGGUACCGCUUAAUUAUGUACCCCUUCUGCUUUUUUUGAAAGAGAACAUCUGUGUUGUACCUCCUGGUAAUGUAUUCCAUCUUUUUGUGUCUGGCAAAAGGAUCUUGAUCAUACUUCUUUUUGGUAAUCUCCUUUUUCUUCAUCCGAAACUGCAAAUUGGUGGCAUAUUUCUCUCUCUCAUAUUCUCUUCUUUUUUGUUUUCGUACUUCAAAAUGUGAAGAUGUAGCCUCUAGUCCUGCAUCUUGCUUUUCAUAAACAAUUUUACGCAUUUCUUUUCUUCUUCGCUGCUUGUUUGUUUUCAAAAGCUUUAUGACACUUUUGUUUUUGUCAUCUGUCAGAACAACAUUUUCAGGGAUUCUGACAUCAGCAUUUGUUUGUGUUUUUGGCAGAGAUGAAGUUACUUCUGAUGGUGACACACAUGCUGCUGAUGAGCAUGGUUCCUCAGCCUGUUGCUCCAUUUCAAAUGAAACAGCCAUGAACUCAUAGCAAGCCUGAGGACCACGAUUCCAAAAAAGCUCAAGUAAUCUGUUGGUCAUGUCAUGCAAGUUGGUGAAAGUUAGCAUAACUGCGGUUCCGUCACCAGUAGGAUGUGGCAAACCUUCAGCAGUUCUGGAAUGUGAAUCAAAAAAUCCAUAUCUUCCAGAACUGUCUCUGAACACAGCAAAGCACUCUGGAGAAACAAUAAGCAGUGCAUGGCUGACAUCUGUUGAGAGACACUGAAGUCUUUCGUCAAGAGGAAUCCACCACGCGUCCAUUUCAGGAGUUCCUCUGUCUCUCAGAUAUCCCAUCAACACUUCUGACUUUUGGACACUGUAGUUGUGGUUAGAAGUUGAGAUGCUCACAGGUACUUCACCCAUGCUUAGAAGAUCCUGUCGGAAUCUUCCUUCAGCAAUAAGCUGCAUUUUAAUGCCAACAUACAAAGCAUCCCCUUCCUCUAGCACUCUGUCAAGAUCAGGCUGUUCGAACAAAGUUCCCUCACUGUGGUACGCAAGGAAUGUCAGAGCUACACACGUGCACUGAUGAUUUCGUGAGAAAACAUCAUACCUUGCAUCACUCUGGCAAUGAGACGCCUGCACGGAUAGAAUUCUAGAUGUGUUGUUGCCAUCUUCGUACUGCUGUCCAUCAGAAACCUGAGCAACACCUUUACUGAUGCUCGUCUGUCCUGUCAGGUCUAACUUUCUCCAACAAACUUUUUGAGCCUGGGAUCUCCUACCUUUCCGAGGCAUCCUUCAAAAGAACAAAAGACAAAAUAUGAGAAAACAGACCAAAGACAUGAUACAAAAUAAUCCAUGACAUAUCUGACUAGCCCAUUAAUUACAAAGAAAUAACUUGGUCAAAGAGUUGGGAAUUCUACAACUCCACAAGCAUGUACAGACAUAGAAAUUGUGUAAAUGUGAUGAUCUCUCUGUAGAGGUGCUCUGAAAACACCAUCACAUUCUGCAUCUAUGUACACAAAGUGCUUAAUUUUCAAACAUACUCCACAUUAGAAUAAGUUAAUUUUGUUAAAUUACAGCUUUUGCAAAUUUAUGAUCAUAAUACUCAACCUUUUUUGUACCUAAAUGGGAUUAAAUUAUCUAAGUUUAACGUCUUGAUCAUCUGUUCUGAUUUUUUUCAAUAAUAAUAAUAAUAAUAAUAAGCAGAUGAUUUCACAUUGUCUCUUAAAUAAGUGUUUAGCAAACAAACCUUUUCUUCAUUAUGAGUUUGAACAGAUCUCUGAUUAAAAAUGACUAUAAAAUGGUUUUAAUGCUACAGUCAAAAAGUACUAUAUUCAAUGAGCAUUUUUUUACAGGAUGUUUUCAAUCACUUACUUCACGAAAUGCUGAAGUGAUACAACCUGCAAAGUAUUCUCAAGGAAAAAACAAGUUAGUUAAUUGACAAGAAAAAGAAUGCCUUACAAAUACAGCUAAUAACCUUUUUUCAAUAAAAAGAACAGUAGCAGAUCA